Long non-coding RNA from Bacillus rossius redtenbacheri, 345 nucleotides. RefSeq lists it as uncharacterized. The record is from RefSeq and is a predicted model, not a curated record. The transcript is spliced from 2 exons. NCBI's taxonomy places the organism in Eukaryota, Metazoa, Arthropoda, Insecta, Phasmatodea, Bacillidae.
GACCUAAGAUGCACAUAAGGUUUGGACCCUGCCCGAACUUACCCGAACAAUUCACAUUCGGCCAACCUCGGGUUUAUUUUGAUCCUUCAGAUACAAAAAUCAAAAAUAUAAACACGGCUAUAUAUCAUUCACAUAAUAGAUAUAGAACUUUUCAGGCAUGAGAAGAAAUGAGACCAUUAGCUUUACAGUAAACCCCUUGGACACUCCAUGGAAAAGAAGAAUUUAUAUUAAUUAUACUCAUUAUAACUAUGCUUUUUUCAUUGCACGCAGAAUGUUUUUUUUUGUGUCAUUUAAUUGAUAGUUAUUAAGAAAGUUGGAAUAAAAAUAGGUUUGUGGAAUAAAAAA